RNAcentral lists this ribosomal RNA (253 nucleotides) under uncultured bacterium. Its description in RNAcentral is "partial 16S ribosomal RNA". It matches the Rfam family "Bacterial small subunit ribosomal RNA", at positions 524 to 776 of the family's 1533-position model. The record is from RNAcentral.
UACGGGGGGGGCAAGCGUUGUUCGGAAUUACUGGGCGUAAAGGGCUCGUAGGCGGCCAACUAAGUCAGAUGUGAAAUCCCCAGGCUUAACCUGGGAACUGCAUUCGAGACUGCAUUGCUAGAGUAUGGGAGAGGGAAGUGGAAUUUCCGGUGUAGCGGUGAAAUGCGUAGAUAUCGGAAGGAACAUCAGUGGCGAAAGCGGCAUUCUGGACCGACAUUGACGCUGAGGAGCGAAAGCCAGGGGAGCAAACGGG